GAAAGUAAUUAAGGGCGUAUGGCGAAUGCCUUGGCUCUCAAAGGCGAUGAAGGACGUGAUAAGCUGCGAUAAGCUACGGUUAGAGGCAAAUACUCAUUUACCCGUAGAUUUCCGAAUGGGGCAACCCAAUAGUUUGAAGAACUAUUAUCCGAAAGGAUGCAAACCCGGAGAACUGAAACAUCUAAGUACCCGGAGGAAAAGAAAACAAUUUAGUGAUUCCCUAAGUAGUGGCGAGCGAAAGGGGAAUAGCCCAAACCAUAAAUGUUACGGCAUUUAUGGGGUUGUAGGACUACAAUAUUGACUAUAUUUUUAAAGUGGAAUCAGAUGGAAAUAUGAGCCAUAGACGGUGAAAGCCCGGUACACGAAUUAAAAGUAUUACAUAGUAGUAUCCUGAGUACCGCGAGGUCGGAGACGCCUUGUGGGAAUCCACCAGCACCAUCUGGUAAGGCUAAAUACUUUUGAGAGACCGAUAGUGAACUAGUACUGUGAAGGAAAGGUGAAAAGAACCGCGAAUAGCGGAGUGAAAUAGAACCUGAAACCAUACGCCUACAAGCGGUCGGAGCAGCUAAGUGCUGUGACGGCGUGCCUUUUGCAUAAUGAGCCUACGAGUUACUCCUCUCUAGCAAGGUUAAAGAUUUAAGAUCUGCAGCCGAAGCGAAAGCAAGUCUGAAUAGGGCGUAUAGUUAGAGGGGGUAGACGCGAAACCUUGUGAUCUACCCAUGACCAGGUUGAAGUUCCGGUAACACGGAAUGGAGGACCGAACUGAUAAGCGUUGAAAAGCUUCCGGAUGAGUUGUGGGUAGGGGUGAAAGGCUAAUCAAACUGGGAAAUAGCUCGUACUCCCCGAAAUGUUUUUAGGAACAGCCUCGAGGUUGAGUGUUAUAGAGGUAGAGCUACUGAUUGGACUAGGGGGCUUCACCGCCUACCAAAUCCUGACAAACUCCGAAUACUAUAACAUAUACUCGGGAGUGAGCCCAUGGGUGCUAAGGUCCGUGGGCGAAAGGGAAAGAACCCAGACCAACAGCUAAGGUCCCUAAAUCUAUGUUAAGUUGAUCUAACGUGGUCCGAUUGCUUUGACAGCUAGGAUGUUUGCUUGGAAGCAGCAAUUCAUUUAAAGAGUGCGUAACAGCUCACUAGUCGAGCGAUUGGGCGUGGAUAAUAAUCGGGCAUCAAACAUAGUACCGAAGCUUUGGCAACGAAAGUUGGGUAGGGGAGCAUUCUAGCGGCAUUGAAGCUGUAACGUGAGUUAUGGUGGAGCUUCUAGAAAAGCAAAUGUAGGCAUAAGUAACGAUAAGGCAGACGAGAAAUCUGCCCACCGAUAGACUAAGGUUUCCUGAACAACGUUAAUCGAUUCAGGGUUAGUCGGGACCUAAGGCGAAGCCGAAUGGCGUAGUCGAUGGACAACUGGUUAAUAUUCCAGUACUUGCUUUACUGCGAUGUGGUGACGAAGUAGUGAAAGUUCUGCGCACUGACGAACAUGUGCGUUAAAAGAUGUAGAUAUAAGUUGUGUAGGUAAAUCCGCACGAUUUGUCGAAUCCGAUAGUAUCGAGAGCCUUCGGGCAAUUGAAUAUGAACCUAAUCAGACUUCCAAGAAAAACCACUAAGCUUCAGGUAACAGCAACCCGUACCGCAAACCGACACAGGUAGUCAAGGAGAGAAUCCUGAGGUGCUCGAGUGAUCCGCGGCUAAGGAACUAGGCAAAUUAACCCUGUAACUUCGGGAAAAAGGGUGCCUUCAGCAAUGAAGGCCACAGUAAAAUGGCUCUGGCGACUGUUUAUCAAAAACACAUGGCUAUGCUAAACUGAAAGGUGAUGUAUAUGGCCUGACACCUGCCCGGUGCUGGAAGGUUAAGAGGAGAGGUUAUUCGCAAGAAGAAGCUUUGAAUUGAAGCCCCAGUAAACGGCGGCCGUAACUAUAACGGUCCUAAGGUAGCGAAAUUCCUUGUCGGGUAAGUUCCGACCUGCACGAAUGGUGUAAUGAUCUGGGCACUGUCUCAGCCAUGAGCUCGGUGAAAUUGUAGUAUCGGUGAAGAUGCCGAUUACCCGCAACGGGACGGAAAGACCCCAUGCACCUUCACUAUAGUUUAACAUUGACUUUGGAUAAAUCAUGUGUAGGAUAGGUGGGAGACUUUGAAGUGGUGUCGCUAGGCAUCAUGGAGUCAACGUUGAAAUACCACCCUUGAUUUAUUUGGAGUCUAACUCCUAACGGAGGACAUUGUUUGAUGGGUAGUUUGACUGGGGUGGUCGCCUCCAAAAAUGUAUCGGAGGCUUUCAAAGGUACCCUCAGCACGCUUGGUAACCGUGCGUUGAGUAUAUUGGCAAAAGGGUGCUUGACUGUGAGACCGACAAGUCGAACAGGUACGAAAGUAGGACAAAGUGAUCCGGUGGUUCCAUAUGGAAGGGCCAUCGCUCAUAGGAUAAAAGGUACGCCGGGGAUAACAGGCUGAUCAUUCCCAAGAGCUCAUAUCGACGGAAUGGUUUGGCACCUCGAUGUCGGCUCGUCACAUCCUGGGGCUGGAGAAGGUCCCAAGGGUUCGGCUGUUCGCCGAUUAAAGUGGCACGUGAGCUGGGUUCAGAACGUCGUGAGACAGUUCGGUCCCUAUCUGUUGCGGGCGUCGGAAGUUUGAGGGGAGCUACCAUUAGUACGAGAGGACCGUGGUGGACGAACCGCUAGUGUACCAGUUGUCCCGCCAGGGGCACCGCUGGGUAGCUAUGUUCGGACGGGAUAAGCGCUGAAAGCAUCUAAGCGCGAAGCCCACCCCAAGAUGAGACUUCCUUUAAGGGUCGUGGAAGACUACCACGUUGAUAGGCCACAGGUGUAAAGUCAGCAAUGGCAAAGCCGAGUGGUACUAAUUACCCAUAAACUUUGACCG
RNAcentral lists this ribosomal RNA (2871 nucleotides) under Flavobacteriales bacterium. Its description in RNAcentral is "23S ribosomal RNA". It matches the Rfam family "Bacterial large subunit ribosomal RNA". Lineage: Bacteria; Pseudomonadati; Bacteroidota; Flavobacteriia; Flavobacteriales. The record is from RNAcentral.